Molecule: ribosomal RNA, 253 nt
Filed under: uncultured bacterium
Lineage: Bacteria
Description: partial 16S ribosomal RNA
Rfam family: Bacterial small subunit ribosomal RNA
Source: RNAcentral
GACGUAGGGCGCGAGCGUUGUCCGGAAUUAUUGGGCGUAAAGAGCUCGUAGGCGGUCUGUUGCGUCGGCUGUGAAAACCCGGGGCUCAACUCCGGGCCUGCAGCCGAUACGGGCAGACUAGAGUUCGGCAGGGGAGACUGGAAUUCCUGGUGUAGCGGUGAAAUGCGCAGAUAUCAGGAGGAACACCGGUGGCGAAGGCGGGUCUCUGGGCCGAUACUGACGCUGAGGAGCGAAAGCGUGGGGAGCGAACAGG